This 253-nucleotide ribosomal RNA is filed under the name uncultured Eubacteriales bacterium. Its description in RNAcentral is "uncultured Clostridiales bacterium partial 16S ribosomal RNA". It matches the Rfam family "Bacterial small subunit ribosomal RNA", at positions 524 to 776 of the family's 1533-position model. The record is from RNAcentral. Lineage: Bacteria; Bacillati; Bacillota; Clostridia; Eubacteriales.
UACGUAGGUGGCGAGCGUUAUCCGGAAUGAUUGGGCGUAAAGGGUGCGUAGGCGGCGCAGUUAGUCAGAAGUGAAAUAUCGGGGCUUAACCCCGGGGCUGCUUCUGAUACUGCUGUGCUCGAGUGCAGGAGAGGUAAGUGGAAUUCCUAGUGUAGCGGUGAAAUGCGUAGAUAUUAGGAGGAACACCAGUGGCGAAGGCGGCCUGCUGGACGACAACUGACGGUGAGGCGCGAAAGCGUGGGGAGCAAACAGG